AAAAAAAGGGAAGAUCAUUCUGUUUCUUUUUUCUAAAAGAAAAGCAGUGGCUCUGGUUUUUUUUAACCCAUUAUUUGCGCCGCCGUUCAACCGAGCGCCAAGGCCCCGAUUGUGACGGAGGUGGCACCGGCUCGACGACUUCGGCGAUUAGGUGAGUUUCCCCUUUCCCUUUUAUAUUUUAAGAGAAAAAUAAAUAAAAAAUAAAGGAAAAAAAUAAAAACAAAACCGAUAACUAAGAAUGACGAACACCAAAUAAAUAAAUGAAAAAAAACCUUUUUGUAUUCAAAAUGAUCUCUUUGUAUCUCUAUCCCCCCUGAUACAGAUUUUCAUCGGCUUUAUAUAGCCGAUUAACACCAAAAAUCCGAAAAAAAUCAAAAACCCCACUUCUUUCCGUUAUUUGCUGCGUUUGUGUCCCCCUUUUUCACAGGUUUGGUGACCGUGGAGUGCGCGCGACGAGCGCGGAGUGACAAGUCGCGGCUUGUGGGCGCUGUUGCGACGUGCGCGUGGGAGCUGCUGCGCCUAGGGUUCCUGCUGGUGCUUUGGCUAGCAAGCUUGGUUUAGUAACUUGGGCCAUUGAGUUUCAAUUAUUGGGUUUUAGUUUACAUUUGUUUUUUUAUUUGUAUUUGGGCUGGGUUUAGUAGGUUGGGUCUAGUAUUUGGGCCUAUUUAUUUGCUUGGGCCUUGGCAUUAUUGGGCUUGUACAAACUUGACUUUAAUUUUUAUUGAAAUUUUAUAUUUUAAAAUUAAAGGGAACAUUUCACCAUUUAAGUUUAAUGGGAAAAAUCGAAACCCCGUAAGUUAGAGUACAAUUUCUCGAAUCACCCAAAAAGCGAAAUGUUACCUUAUAACGAAACUUCUUUUAUUAUUUUGAAAUUCAAAAAGGGUUCUUUGCUAUUUAGGCCUAACAAAAAAAUUUGAAACCCCGUAAGUUAG
This 932-nucleotide long non-coding RNA is filed under the name Gossypium raimondii (Peruvian cotton). RNAcentral's name for it is "long non-coding RNA (GRAI_LNC007162)". Lineage: Eukaryota; Viridiplantae; Streptophyta; Magnoliopsida; Malvales; Malvaceae. The record is from RNAcentral.